CAAUCUACUCAACGUAAAUUCGGGACCGAUUUAGAUUCUCAGAGACAGUGCGGAAAAUUAGAUCAAAUUCAUUUCGGAAAAUUCGUCUUUGAUGAUGAUUGUCUGGACUUGGCAGAAUAUAAAUUUUGCUAAUGCAUAAACAGUCCAAGUCAAAGAAAAUUGCUGAAAUUCCUAGUUAGAAUGGCGAGGAGACGGACAGAAAGUUUUGACACGUUUCGUCUCGAUUCGACACCAAAAAACACGGAGCGUCAUGGGAGAUACGACAGAGGCGACUGGACUAGUUUAUACAUCCUCGAAGAAAGUCCGAAAAUAAACUCAGUGGAUUUAUUUAUUGGAGUCUAUGAGACUUUUAUAAUAAUGCUUUUCUAUGUUAAAUCUAGUGAGGUGUAUUAUGAUUGAGAUACUGUAUAUAUUUCAUUUUAAUUUUGCUAAUUAAAUUGACAAAAUAAACAUUAUCCCAUGCAUCGCAA
Dendroctonus ponderosae (mountain pine beetle) is the source of this 470-nucleotide long non-coding RNA. RefSeq lists it as uncharacterized. Lineage: Eukaryota; Metazoa; Arthropoda; Insecta; Coleoptera; Curculionidae. The transcript is spliced from 2 exons. The record is from RefSeq and is a predicted model, not a curated record.